UGAGGAAUAUUGGUCAAUGGGCGGGAGCCUGAACCAGCCAAGCCGCGUGAGGGAAGAAGGCCCUAUGGGUCGUAAACCUCUUUUGUCAGGGAACAAAAGCGAGUAUGUAUACUAGUCUGAGUGUACCUGAAGAAAAAGCAUCGGCUAACUCCGUGCCAGCAGCCGCGGUAAUACGGAGGAUGCGAGCGUUAUCCGGAUUUAUUGGGUUUAAAGGGUGCGUAGGCGGCGAUGCAAGUCAGCGGUAAAAGCCCGGGGCUCAACCCCGGCCAGCCGUUGAAACUGCAGUGCUAGAGAAGGCGAGAGGUACGCGGAAUGCGCAGUGUAGCGGUGAAAUGCUUAGAUAUUGCGCAGAACUCCGAUUGCGAAGGCAGCGUACUGGCGCCUGACUGACGCUGAGGCACGAAAGCGUGGGGAUCGAACAGGAUUAGAUACCC
This 434-nucleotide ribosomal RNA is filed under the name uncultured bacterium. RNAcentral describes it as "bacterial SSU rRNA". It matches the Rfam family "Bacterial small subunit ribosomal RNA", at positions 355 to 787 of the family's 1533-position model. The record is from RNAcentral.